GGCCAGACUCCUACGGGAGGCAGCAGUGAGGAAUAUUGGGCAAUGGGGGCAACCCUGACCCAGCCAUGCCGCGUGAGUGAAGAAGGUCUUCGGAUUGUAAAGCUCUUUCGGACGUGACGAUGAUGACGGUAGCGUCUAAAGAAGCACCGGCAAACUUCGUGCCAGCAGCCGCGGUAAUACGAAGGGUGCGAGCGUUGUUCGGAAUUACUGGGCGUAAAGGGAGUGCAGGCGGCUGAGUAAGACAGAUGUGAAAUCCCCGGGCUUAACCUGGGAACCGCAUAUGUGACUGCUUGGCUAGAGUGCGUCAGAGGGAGGUGGAAUUCCACGUGUAGCAGUGAAAUGCGUAGAUAUGUGGAAGAACCCCGAUGGCGAAGGCAGCCUCCUGGGACGCAACUGACGCUCAUACACGAAAGCGUGGGGAGCAAACAGGAUUAGAUACCCCUGUA
RNAcentral lists this ribosomal RNA (446 nucleotides) under uncultured bacterium. RNAcentral's name for it is "bacterial SSU rRNA". It matches the Rfam family "Bacterial small subunit ribosomal RNA", at positions 329 to 792 of the family's 1533-position model. The record is from RNAcentral.